UAAACAGCAAGUUAUUGUUAAGAAUUCUAGCAGAAAGAGUCAAAAAGUUAUAAUAUUUCUUUUUUUUUCUAUUGGCAGGUGGACAUGGAUAUGGAUGAUUCAGACUGUGGUGAUGAAGCACCUAAAUUGCAGGAUAAGGAAGAUGUUGAGCUGACAGACCCAAAAUCAUUGGGUAAUGCACCUGAUGAUGGUAUGUCUUAAAUUGCAUUGAUAAUUUUAGUGGACAUAAUACACUUCCAUCAUUUAGUUUUUUCUUUGCUUGCAUGAUUUUGUAACAUGUGUAACAUGGGCGUGUGGUUAUCUUGCUGCAGAUAUGAUGUAAUGAGCUUAUUGGCUAAGCUCUAUCUUGUUCUUUUAUCAGUUCUGUAGGAUUAACAAGUGAAUAAAGAGAUGUUGUUAAUGCCAAACAUUAUCUUGUAGGGUAUUAAGCCCAAUAUUUAUACUUAUAAAUACCAAAACUUUCAGGUGCAAGGUUGCCUAUAUUGGUACCAGGAUCCGUACUGGUUGGCUGGCAGUGAGUACGGUACAGUAUUGUAUCGUACCAUUUCGGGGUGUGCUGACACAACACGAGUUGGAGAGGAAGGGGA
RNAcentral lists this long non-coding RNA (587 nucleotides) under Phoenix dactylifera (date palm). RNAcentral's name for it is "long non-coding RNA (PDAC_LNC016859)". Lineage: Eukaryota; Viridiplantae; Streptophyta; Magnoliopsida; Arecales; Arecaceae. The record is from RNAcentral.